UUAGUCGGUUGCGGCCACAGCUGAUUUCACAUGUGCCUCCGAUCGCGUCGUACGCUCGCUCCGCGCGCCAUGCCGGCAAAACAUUGAAACUUGUAAUAAAAAUAUACGGGAAAACGUUGGACUUUGGAAAAUUGUGAUUUUGUGAAAAUUGGACGUUUGGUUCUGUUUGGGUAUUGAUUUGGGAGAAGUGGGUUCCGGAUUUUUUGCAUUGGCGGAAAUGCCUAGGUGAGCCGCGAUGCGCAGCGACAUGGCGUACCGCGGGCUCUCGCAGCACGUGGAGCUGGACCGCGCGGCCGACCCGCGCGACCGGUUCACGCUGCAGGAGCUCAUAGGCGAGGGCACGUAUGGCGAGGUCUACUGCGCGAGGGACAAGAAGAGCGGCAGGCGAGUCGCCGUCAAGAUCUUGGAGAACAUCACUGAAAACAUCGAAGAAAUCGAGGAGGAAUUCCUAGUGUUCCGAGACUUGUCCAGCCAUCCGAACAUUCCUGAAUUCUUCGGGCUAUUCUUGAAGCGCGGAGCCUGUUCUGAUGAUGACCAGAUAUGGUUCGUCAUGGAGCUCUGUACUGGAGGUUCAGUGACAGAUCUAUGCGCUGGUAUCCGCGAGCACGGAAACAACCUCACAGAACCCCAACUGGCCUACGUCCUGCGAGGCACAGUCCGGGCUCUUACCCACCUCCAUGCCCACCGCUGCAUGCACCGGGACGUCAAGGGCCAUAACAUCCUACUCACUGAGAACGGCGAAGUGAAACUCGUCGAUUUCGGAGUUUCCUCACAUUUAGCUGCGACUGCUGCGCGGAGAAACACUUCAGUGGGCACGCCUUACUGGAUGGCGCCAGAGGUCAUAGCGUGUGAACAGCAGUUGGACCAGUCCUACGAUUGCCGAUGCGACGUUUGGUCAGUCGGCAUCACCGCUAUCGAACUUGCAGAAGGCGAACCUCCCUUAUCAGGACUUCAUCCAAUGAGGGCAUUGUUCCAAAUACCACGAAAUCCACCACCUACUUUAGCACACCCUGAGCUGUUCUCAUCACAGUUAGCAGAUUUCAUCGCUGAAUGUCUGGUCAAAGAUAUGAACCAAAGACCAUUCGCGAGGGAACUUCUAGAACAUCCUUUGUUAUUAGCUGUCAGUAGUUUUGAAGAAAAGAUACGCAAGGAGCUUCAAACAGAAAUAAAACGCCAACGAGCAGAAGGCCGAAGCUGCCGCGCCCCCGACGUAACAACAAAAAGAGGAAAACUAAAAUCACAUAGAAAAGCAAAACCAGAAAAAAUGUAUACUGAUGAUCUAGCAACAUUAGAAGUACUGACAGAAGAUGCCAUCGUAGAGCAACUGCAGAAGAGAUAUAACCAAAAUCAAAUAUACACUUACAUAGGAGAUAUACUUGUGGCGGUCAAUCCUUUCACUGACAUAGGUAUUUACACUACCAAGAGUCAGCAAAUAUACCAAGGCCGUUGCCGCUCGGACAACCCUCCACACAUUUACGCUGUAGCAGAUGCAGCUCACCAAGCUCUGAUGCAUCAGAAACAGCACCAAGCCAUAGUUAUCUCAGGGGAAAGUGGGGCGGGUAAGACGGAGUCGGCUAACCUCUUGUUGAAGCAGCUGGUCUUUCUGUCAAAGACACAAACGGGUAACGUAGAAGAUAAAAUCCUGCAAGUAAACCCUAUCAUGGAGGCAUUCGGAAACGCUCGAACAGGCAUUAACGCCAACAGCUCCCGCUUCGGCAAAUAUUUGGAUUUGUCUCUCAUGAGAGUCGGCAGGAUAUCGGGGGCGCGGAUUUCUGUUUACCUUUUGGAACAAUCGAGGGUUGUACACCAGGCGUUAGGCGAAAGCAAUUUCCACGUAUUCUACUAUCUGUAUGAUGGCUUGGAGAGUGAAGGGCGAUGGAGGAAGUUUUACCUUGAUGAACAACUUAAAUCUAGACAUCGAUACUUACAACCACUUUCUGUUGCUCAUCGGGAACAUAAUGUUCAUCGCUGGCGGCAGUUAAAUCAAGCGUUUAAGGUGGUCGGAUUUCAAGAGGAGGAGGUACAAAUAAUUUACAAAAUGCUGUCGGCAAUAUUGCACCUCGGUGAUAUAGAAUUUGGGGAGACCGCGGGUGAAGAUAACACUGAUAACAGAGCUACCAUUAUAGACACAGCACCUUUGCAUAGAGCAUCGUGUCUGCUAGGCGUAGAAACAUCAGACCUUCGCGAAUGCCUGACUAGCAGCAGUGUGGUGGCCCGAGGGGAGACCAUAGCCCGACACUGCUCGCCCACUGAAGCGGCUGUGGCAAGGGACGCAACCGCCCGCGGCCUGUACGCGCGAGCCUUCGACAGAAUUGUAGAGAGGAUCAACGCUCUGCUGUGUCAGAAUAGACCGUAUGGCACUGAACAACUAUCCAUCGGAAUAUUAGAUAUCUUCGGAUUUGAAAACUUUAAUAGAAACUCCUUUGAACAACUCUGUAUCAACAUUGCCAAUGAACAAAUACAGUACUAUUUCAAUCAGCAUAUAUUUACCUGGGAGCAGCAAGAGUAUAUGGCAGAAGGAGUGCCCGUUGAUCUUGUCGAGUUCUCCGACAACAGGCCUGUCUUGGACAUGUUAUUGUCAAGACCUAUGGGUCUAUUAGCUCUGCUUGAUGAAGAGAGCCGAUUCCCAAGAUCUACUGAUAGAAGUCUUAUUGAAAAAUUCCACAAUAAUCUAAAAAGCAAAUACUACGUCCGACCGAAAUCCGAUGCUAUAUGCUUUGCCAUUCACCACUUCGCCGGCCGCGUAGUCUACCAAGCCGACGGUUUUCUAGAGAAAAACCGAAAUUUCUUGCCUCCAGAAGUGGUUCAAUUGAUGCGACAGAGCCAAUACGAUAUCAUUAGGUUCCUUUUCCAGUGUCCGAUUACAAAGACUGGCAAUUUAUAUUCACCUCUCCAAGGAGAUAUGGACACAAAUAGAAGUUUAGACAGUUCAUGUGAUACUCGGCAGGACCGCUACAACAGUCGUGGGCUCGCCUCACAAUCUCGCGCUCAGCAAACAGUGUCCACUUAUUUCCGAUAUUCUUUAAUGGAACUGCUCCAGAAAAUGGUCAGUGGCUCACCACAGUUCGUGAGAUGUCUGAAACCAAACGAUUCGCGAUCACCAAAACAUUUUGAUUCUGCGAAAAUAUUGAAGCAGCUUAGAUACACGGGUGUUCUAGAAACUAUUAGGAUAAGACAAAAUGGAUUUUCCCAUCGAUUAACAUUUGAAGAAUUUUUGAAGAGGUACAGUUUCUUAGCAUUCAACUAUAACGAAGAAGUAAAACCGAACCGAGACACGUGCCGUCUUUUGCUUUUGCGGCUAAAGAUGGACGGCUGGGCGCUAGGGAAAUCUAAAGUCUUCUUGAAGUAUUAUCACGUUGAAGUACUCGCCCGAAUCUACGAAGAACAGAUUCGGAAAGUAGUAUUAGUACAAGCAUGUGGUCGAGGAUGGCUCGCCCGAAGGUACUUCCUGCGGCUGAAGGCCCAGAUGGCGAUAUCUGUUCUCACGCUGCAGAAACACGUGAGGGGCUGGCUCACCAGGAAACGACUCCAGGAGCGACAGAGACAGCUCGCCAGGGAGUUCCAGAGGCAACAGAUGGAACAGGACAGUCGGAAACAUAAACCUGGUGCUGCAUUAAUUAAAAACAAGGCCAUGAUGAAAGCGAAGAUAUUAAGGAAGAUGACGUCAAACGAUAGUGACAGCAACGACACCAAUUCGGGCAGCAAUAAAGAGAACAUCGAUUCGAAUAAGGCUGCCGUUGUUAUCCAGAGUCAUUUCCGAGGCUACACGGCACGACGCAAAUGGGCGAAGGGGCGAGCGCCGCCGCCGCCGUCACAUCCAGCCCCCACGCCCCAGCAGCUCAUGCAGCAGUACUCCGUGCAAGAGCGAGCCAGCCAGCUACAGUCCUUCGCGGACCAGGUGCACGACAAAAACCAAGAGGUCCACAAGAACCUGCGCCGAAACAAGCCUGGCGUCCGGUUGCAGCAGGUGUCAAGACCCCCCGCUGAGUACCGGCCUCCACCUGGCUUCACGCUCGUGCCUGCCAUCGUGCGCGGCCAGGUGACGCAGCUUGAACAGGACGCCAGUCGCCUUUCCAGUCCCUCGCCAGAAUUCCUAGAGAACCCUGCGAGGCCCUGGGAUGAACCCUUGAUUAGUAAAGAAUAUGAGUUCAGUCCAUUCAGAUCCAACCGAAGCAACCAGCAGCCGGAGCAGUGCGGCGAGCACCGGCACCACCUGGCCAGCCAGAACUGGCAGAACCUGCCCUGCAGCCGCCAGUGCGGCGGCCUCGUCAGGUAUGCCCGCGACGACGACUACACUAACUUCUGGCCGUGAUUCCAUCUAAUCCUUGUCUUGUGCAUGCUUUACGCGCGGAACCAGGAAACCUUGUAAUAAGAUAAUCGAGCUGGUAAAGCAGUCUCACAAGGCAGACCCUCCACCACGACCAGUCUACAAACUAACACCACACGACCCCGAGUCAGACUUCCGAAAGAUUCUCCGCAACUCACCAGAAAUCCU
Molecule: unclassified non-coding RNA, 4495 nt
Filed under: Leguminivora glycinivorella
Lineage: Eukaryota; Metazoa; Arthropoda; Insecta; Lepidoptera; Tortricidae
Description: myosin-IIIb-like, transcript variant X5
Source: RNAcentral